This 491-nucleotide ribosomal RNA is filed under the name uncultured bacterium. Its description in RNAcentral is "partial 16S ribosomal RNA". It matches the Rfam family "Bacterial small subunit ribosomal RNA", at positions 29 to 507 of the family's 1533-position model. The record is from RNAcentral.
GUGAACGCUGGCGGUAGGCCUAACACAUGCAAGUCGAACGGCAGCACAGUAAGAGCUUGCUCUUACGGGUGGCGAGUGGCGGACGGGUGAGGAAUACAUCGGAAUCUACUUUUUCGUGGGGGAUAACGUAGGGAAACUUACGCUAAUACCGCAUACGACCUACGGGUGAAAGCAGGGGAUCUUCGGACCUUGCGCGAUUGAAUGAGCCGAUGUCGGAUUAGCUAGUUGGCGGGGUAAAGGCCCACCAAGGCGACGAUCCGUAGCUGGUCUGAGAGGAUGAUCAGCCACACUGGAACUGAGACACGGUCCAGACUCCUACGGGAGGCAGCAGUGGGGAAUAUUGGACAAAGGGCGCAAGCCUGAUCCAGCCAUACCGCGUGGGUGAAGAAGGCCUUCGGGUUGUAAAGCCCUUUUGUUGGGAAAGAAAAGCAGCAGGUUAAUACCCCGCUGUUCCGACGGUACCCAAAGAAUAAGCACCGGCUAACUUCGUG